CCAUAAACUGUACAGCUUUGGUCUACCACACACAGUCAAUCAUCAUGGUACUCAGGCCUCAAAGCACCAGAUGAGCCAAAUGUGGACCAAGGUCUCCAAAACUAACCACGGAGAGGGAAAUGGAAGAGACCGAGUUGCUGAAAAUUUCCCAAAGAUCCACAAAUUUGCCAAAGUGAAGGAUCCAGGACUAUCCAGGUUAGAGUCAAUAGCCUGGGAGUCCUGCAGUUGAGCAAGAGAAAGACGUGGCCCAUGAUUUUUGCCAAAACUCCAAGGGAAGGCAAAGAAAAGGGAAAAGGCUAUCAUUCCUCAGGCAGAGUUCAACAGGAAGAGAAAGCAAUGUUCUCUGCACAUGAAGUUCCAGGCUGACAUGAGAGUCCUUCAAAAUGCUAGCCACAGGACUUUCCUGAACACAUUGGAGUUUCAUGGGUUUGCCAUAUCAUAAAGCUAAUUAGGCCCAGGCAGAAAGAAGCUCAACAUUCCAAAACCCAGCUAGUUUCUUUAAGAGGUACUGAAAAUUGAACACAAUCCCCUGCUUGUGAGGACUCCUAAGUGAACCCUACAGCUGUCAUUUAUUUUGUAGCAACACCACCACCACCACUACCACAACCAGCACCGCCACCAACAACGACAACAAGAAAAGUAAUAUAAAAAGCCUGUAAGAACCAUGUCAUUUCAUUAUCUCUUCGAUCGUGGUGUUCUCCCCUGUGUCUGUCUGUAAUCCACACAAAUGACUGGACUGAGAUUCACAGCUGAUGGUCUCUCUGGUCGUCUCAUAAUUCUUGGACACUGCUGAUCUGCAACCAAUGUGCACCAUUAUCUAAGGCCAACUUUAAGUUCUUCAAGUUGGAUUUUGCUUCAUGUACACCUGGAAGAGAAGGUGUUUACCAUGGCAGGAGGCACAUUUCCCUGAGACAGGCUGACUGAGUUAAAGACCAGAGACUCUAGUGCUAGACUUGUAAUUCUGAGUAAAAAUUCUGGUUCAGAAUGCACAAGAUACAAUUCACAGACCACAUGAAGCUCAACAAGAAGGAAGACCAAAAUGUGGAUGCU
RNAcentral lists this small RNA (1050 nucleotides) under Rattus norvegicus (Norway rat). RNAcentral's name for it is "uncharacterized LOC102550062". Lineage: Eukaryota; Metazoa; Chordata; Mammalia; Rodentia; Muridae. The record is from RNAcentral.